RNAcentral lists this ribosomal RNA (176 nucleotides) under Geophagus proximus. Its description in RNAcentral is "partial small subunit ribosomal RNA". The record is from RNAcentral. Lineage: Eukaryota; Metazoa; Chordata; Actinopteri; Cichliformes; Cichlidae.
ACCGCGGUUAUACGAGMGGCCCAAGUUGACAGACAUCGGCGUAAAGAGUGGUUAAGGAAACCCCAUUACUAAAGCCGAACGCCCUCAGAACUGUCAUACGUUCCCGAAGGUAAGAAGCCCCACUACGAAAGUGGCUUUAACCACACCCGACCCCACGAAAGCUGUGAAACAAACUG